AAAAUGCUAGUAACAAAAAUUACACCGCCUUGUCAAGGCGGAAUUGUGGGUUAAAGCCCCGCGCAUUUUA
This 70-nucleotide transfer RNA is filed under the name Gymnothorax undulatus (undulated moray). RNAcentral's name for it is "tRNA-Asp". The record is from RNAcentral. Lineage: Eukaryota; Metazoa; Chordata; Actinopteri; Anguilliformes; Muraenidae.